AUGUCGUCGAAGGUCUCUCCCCUCCACGGGGUAGUGGACGCCCGCCGGUGGGACGCCGAGCGCAUCCUGGGCCGUCUAGUGAUCGUGGUCCACGCCGCCUUCCUCGACGCGGGCUUCAUCGUCUCCCGCCCCCACCGUCGGGAUCGGGAUCUGUCGUCUACCUGCUGGCUUCCGACAGAGCUGGGCGAGACGGCCUCGACCCUGUCCCUGGGCCUGGAGUACACCGCGCCACAGCUGCUACCCCGGCACGACAUGGACGGCGCCGCGCUGAGCGUGUGCACCGACGGGCGGCACGUCACCUUCUACCUGCAGGCCUGCUCUGUCCAGACCGGCAUGUACAGGGUGUGCCUGGACGCGCUCUCCGUCGCGCCGCUCCUGACGGGCGAUCUGCACGGCACAGCGCGCAGGCUGUUGGGGAACGACGGCUCCCCGACGGCCGCGCUCUGGAGGAAGGUCAGCGACGGAUUCAGCCGGCGCAUCUUCUCGGGUCUAUGCCGUGAGCACGGCGUCGUGCCGGGACGAGCCCCCACCUUCAUGUCCCUCCCGAGCGACAUCAUGGCGGCGAUCCUGGAGAGGCUCGCCGACGGGAAGGACCUGCUGAGAGUGGAGAGCACCUGCACCGAGCUGAGGAGCUUCGUGGCCGACCGGGACCGCCAGCUCUGGAUGCCCAGGUACAAGGCGCUACGGUUGAACUGGCUGUGGUGGUGGUGCUGGUCGCUCGGCGGCGACAGCGAUUCCCACGACGACCUGCCGGAGACGAGCACGAGCUGGAAGGAGAUGUUUGUGCGGGCCACGCGACGGAGGGAACAUUGGUUUCUUCGUCCGACUCGUAUCCUCAACUCACCGCGGUUUUCUAUCCUCGAUUCAUGGAAUUGGCAUUUUGGAUCCGAUUCAUUUGAGCUGCCGGUGGAUGCCGCUGCCUACUUUGGAGAGAUGAUGCCGGAGGGCGACGGGGGCAAGAAUACCACCGGUCGCCACCAUGGCCAUGGUAAGGCGCCGGCGACAGGCGGCCACAAGAAGCAGAAGCAGCAGGGUCGUCGCACCCGCACCGGCACCGGCGCUAUCCACUCUCCGUCUGCUAGGUACCGAUGGAAGCACAGGUGA
RNAcentral lists this ribosomal RNA (1104 nucleotides) under Triticum aestivum (bread wheat). Its description in RNAcentral is "partial small subunit ribosomal RNA". Lineage: Eukaryota; Viridiplantae; Streptophyta; Magnoliopsida; Poales; Poaceae. The record is from RNAcentral.